CGGGAUGUAGCUCGGCAGGUAGAGCGUCUGGUUGAAAGCCAGGGCGUCGCAGGUUCCAUGCCUGCCGCCCGGCCA
RNAcentral lists this transfer RNA (75 nucleotides) under Rhodocyclaceae bacterium. RNAcentral's name for it is "tRNA-Phe". It matches the Rfam family "tRNA". Rfam says of the family: Transfer RNA (tRNA) molecules are approximately 80 nucleotides in length. The record is from RNAcentral. Lineage: Bacteria; Pseudomonadati; Pseudomonadota; Betaproteobacteria; Rhodocyclales; Rhodocyclaceae.